CAGCAGCCGCGGUAAUACGUAGGUGGCAAGCGUUGUCCGGAAUUAUUGGGCGUAAAGGGCUCGCAGGCGGUUUCUUAAGUCUGAUGUGAAAGCCCCCAGCUCAACCGGGGAGGGUCAUUGGAAACUGGGAAACUUGAGUGCAGAAGAGGAGAGUGGAAUUCCACGUGUAGCGGUGAAAUGCGUAGAGAUGUGGAGGAACACCAGUGGCGAAGGCGACUCUCUGGUCAGUAACUGACGCUGAGGAGCGAAAGCGUGGGGAGCGAACAAGAUUAGAUACCCCGGUAGUCCCUGUCUCUUAUAC
RNAcentral lists this ribosomal RNA (301 nucleotides) under uncultured bacterium. Its description in RNAcentral is "partial 16S ribosomal RNA". It matches the Rfam family "Bacterial small subunit ribosomal RNA", at positions 509 to 807 of the family's 1533-position model. The record is from RNAcentral.